This 200-nucleotide unclassified non-coding RNA is filed under the name uncultured Russula. Its description in RNAcentral is "sequence contains ITS1". The record is from RNAcentral. Lineage: Eukaryota; Fungi; Basidiomycota; Agaricomycetes; Russulales; Russulaceae.
UCGUAUAACCGAGGUGCUGGGGCUGUCGCUAACUUUGUGCAUGCCUCGGUGCUCUCUCACAAAUCCAUCUCACCCCCUUUUGUGAAUCACCGCGUGGGUGCUCUCCUUUCGGUUCAUUCUGAAAGGGGGCAUUUGCGCUUUUACACAGACCCUCCACAUGUGUAGAAUGUCUUGCUAUUUGCGAUGAUACGCAAUCAAUA